CGUCGGCCGGACCGGCCGGCACGGUGNGGUAACACGUAUGGAACCUGCCCGCAGCAGGGGGAUAAGCGGAAGAAAUUCCGUCUAAUACCGCGUAACAACGUUGGGAGGCAUCUCCCGAUGUUUAAAGAUUUAUCGGCUGCGGAUGGCCAUGCGGCGCAUUAGCUAGUCGGCGGGGUAACGGCCCACCGAGGCGACGAUGCGUAGGGGUUCUGAGAGGAAGGUCCCCCACACUGGUACUGAGACACGGACCAGACUCCUACGGAAGGCAGCAG
This 272-nucleotide ribosomal RNA is filed under the name uncultured bacterium. RNAcentral describes it as "partial 16S ribosomal RNA". It matches the Rfam family "Bacterial small subunit ribosomal RNA", at positions 83 to 354 of the family's 1533-position model. The record is from RNAcentral.